Molecule: ribosomal RNA, 270 nt
Filed under: uncultured bacterium
Lineage: Bacteria
Description: partial 16S ribosomal RNA
Rfam family: Bacterial small subunit ribosomal RNA
Source: RNAcentral
CCGGCGACCGGCGCACGGGUGAGUAACACGUAUGCAACCUGGCCGUCACAGGUGGAUAACCGGAAGAAAUUCCGACUAAUACAGCAUAACACUCCUGAGGGACAUCCCUUGGGAGUCAAAGGAGGCAACUCCGGUGACGGAUGGGCAUGCGGUGCAUUAGGUAGUUGGUAGGGUAACGGCCUACCAAGCCGACGAUGCGUAGGGGUUCUGAGAGGAAGGUCCCCCACAUUGGAACUGAGACACGGUCCAAACUCCUACGGGAGGCAGCAG